This 274-nucleotide ribosomal RNA is filed under the name uncultured bacterium. RNAcentral describes it as "partial 16S ribosomal RNA". It matches the Rfam family "Bacterial small subunit ribosomal RNA", at positions 523 to 796 of the family's 1533-position model. The record is from RNAcentral.
AUACGUAGGUCCCGAACGUUGCGCGAAAUUACUGGGCGUAAAGGGUCCGUAGGCGGUCUGGUAAGUGGAAGGUGAAAGCCUGGGGCUCAACUCCAGAAUUGCCUUCCAAACUGCCGGACUUAAGGCAGGGAGAGGUCGGCGGAAUUCCCGGUGUAGUGGUGAAAUGCGUAGAUAUCGGGAGGAACACCAGUGGCGAAGGCGGCCGACUGGAACUGUCCUGACGCUGAGGGACGAAAGCCAGGGGAGCGAACCGGAUUAGAAACCCUAGUAGUCC